AUCUCUCUCUCUCUGUCCUAUAUUAAAUGGAUUUUUGGGCCUGGGAGUUGGACCCAGAGCUUGCUCCCUCCACUCCGUGCAUCGUCCCGGUAUUGCAGCGCCUCUGGGCAUGGUGCAUCCCCC
This 123-nucleotide small nuclear RNA is filed under the name Phoenicopterus ruber ruber. RNAcentral's name for it is "U2 spliceosomal RNA". It matches the Rfam family "U2 spliceosomal RNA". Rfam says of the family: U2 is a small nuclear RNA (snRNA) component of the spliceosome (involved in pre-mRNA splicing). Complementary binding between U2 snRNA (in an area lying towards the 5' end but 3' to hairpin I) and the branchpoint sequence (BPS) of the intron results the bulging out of an unpaired adenosine, on the BPS, which initiates a nucleophilic attack at the intronic 5' splice site, thus starting the first of two transesterification reactions that mediate splicing. Lineage: Eukaryota; Metazoa; Chordata; Aves; Phoenicopteriformes; Phoenicopteridae. The record is from Rfam by way of RNAcentral.